This 624-nucleotide long non-coding RNA is filed under the name Equus caballus (horse). RNAcentral's name for it is "lncRNA (ENSECAG00000056995.1)". Lineage: Eukaryota; Metazoa; Chordata; Mammalia; Perissodactyla; Equidae. The record is from RNAcentral.
UAAAUAUAACUUUUAUAUGCACUGGGAACCCAAAAAAUUCGUAGGACUUGCUUUAUUGUGCUAUUUGCUUUACUGCAGUGGUUGGAACUGAACCCGCAAUAUCUCUGUGCUAUGCCUGUACUUAGAAUCCGUGCAUGGAUGAUUCAUGCUAAAUGAAAUGAUCUGAGUCUGGAUUCUGAUAUAAAAUCUGAAAUUACAAGAGUCACGAAUUAUGUUGAGAUUUAGGGACUGUUUGGUGCAAGCAAUGGAAGCAAGCUGUGGCUCUUAAGCCAAAGGGAGCAUUUUGGAGAGCUGCAGGCACAUGAUUCACAAUGGUUCCACUCAGAGGUCAGAUUGGUUUCACGUGGGUCACCUAUCCACCAUGGCCAGUAGCAAGCACACUGGGUCAAAGUGCUAACACAGUCCAGUAGGAAAGGAAUCCUUCCCGAAUGGAAUUUGACAUAGUGUUCAGAAGGGAAAUGGGCUGCUGCCCCCCUAAAGCAACAGCAACCACCAUCCCUUUAAGGGUGGAGUUAACGUAAUGUCCCACGGCAUCCGAGACUAUGACAGUCACAAGGCCUGAGUGCACCUCAUGAUUAAGAAGGGAAACACUGUAUUCUUUCAUCCUUUGCUCACCCAUGGAUC